AUUGAACGCUGGCGGCAGGCCUAACACAUGCAAGUCGAGCGGAUGAAGGGAGCUUGCUCCUGGAUUCAGCGGCGGAGGGGUGAGUAAUGCCUAGGAAUCUGCCUGGUAGUGGGGGAUAACGUCCGGAAACGGGCGCUAAUACCGCAUACGUCCUGAGGGAGAAAGUGGGGGAUCUUCGGACCUCACGCUAUCAGAUGAGCCUAGGUCGGAUUGGCUAGUUGGUGGGGUAAAGGCCUACCAAGGCGACGAUCCGUAACUGGUCUGAGAGGAUGAUCAGUCACACUGGAACUGAGACACGGUCCAGACUCCUACGGGAGGCAGCAGUGGGGAAUAUUGGACAAUGGGCGAAAGCCUGAUCCAGCCAUGCCGCGUGUGUGAAGAAGGUCUUCGGAUUGUAAAGCACUUUAAGUUGGGAGGAAGGGCAGUAAGUUAAUACCUUGCUGUUUUGACGUUACCAACAGAAUAAGCACCGGCUAACUUCGUG
This 484-nucleotide ribosomal RNA is filed under the name uncultured bacterium. RNAcentral describes it as "partial 16S ribosomal RNA". It matches the Rfam family "Bacterial small subunit ribosomal RNA", at positions 30 to 507 of the family's 1533-position model. The record is from RNAcentral.